UUUUUUUUUUUUUUUUUUUUUUGGUAGAUCCUCAUUUCCUCAUCACUGUUACUUAGCUCAUUUCUUUUUCUUUGGAAAAUCCCAAAGAACCAUCUUGAAGAUGCUUCCAGGGACAGCAUCGGAACAAGCUUUGCAUCUGAAGCGCAGACCAAUAGCAAUGGUGUGUGUGCGCCAGUGGAAAAGUUGGUUUUUGAAGGAGAAAUGUGAAAGAGCAAGAACCGUUCUGAUGAGUUACAGCCUUUUAUCAGGUAAUGUUACAUUUGAUUAAAUGGGUGCCUGUUUAAAUACAACCAUGUGGCUGCAUUGCUGAACUCUGGGAAAUGAGUUAGAGCCAAACACGGAACUUCUACCCUGCCUUCCUGUGGGUGGAUGGUUGUACCAGUCGAGACCUAACUGGUAAGUGGCAGCAAUGUGAUUUUUAUUGUACCCAAGA
Molecule: long non-coding RNA, 433 nt
Filed under: Anser brachyrhynchus (Pink-footed goose)
Lineage: Eukaryota; Metazoa; Chordata; Aves; Anseriformes; Anatidae
Description: lncRNA (ENSABRG00000009668.1)
Source: RNAcentral